AAGAAGAGGAGUGGGUGGAGGGCCCCUGGAUCUCGUGGAAUAAGAUGAUGAUGCCAGAGUGCACGAACUAACCUUUUGGGGAGGGGAAAAACAAAAACAAAGAAUAAAAACAAAAAGCUAACCAAGUUAGUGAGGAUCAUAAAAAGUAUUACAAUAUUUAAACCCAUAGUGCGGGAAUGUAAAUCGUGUCCUAUUUUGGGGACCUCCUUGUGCCCGAGGUAGACAUAGCGACAAAUUGAUUUGGAGAACUUAGAAUGCUAAAUGCCUCAUUUUAUUGAUAGAGAUAGACGAAUCCGAAAACGACACUAAAUAAGCAAGAAACAAAAGUCACUAAUGGUCGUUGGCCUUAUUACAUUCAUAAAGCGAAAAAGAUAAACUCAUAUCUACUUGGUCCCAGAAAGACCUUCCUCAGGUUAAAUGCUCUCGUUGAUUAGAUCCUCCAGUUCGCGUAGGUUCACCAGUAAAAAUGCCUUUGCCAGGUGUUCUCCUUCAUUUUCCUCAACGUUCUGGCAGUCUGUAACUCUCCUCCUCACUUUUCCUUCCAAUUCCAGCAGGUUGUAUUCCAGAUAUUCCAACUUUUCGCUAGCUUUGGCGGCCCUCUCUUUCCACUCAUUGAUUUGGUCAUUUGAUAGAAGACUCAUCCACCAGUCUAACAAGAGUGGAGGCGUGCUAACUAUACCAAAACUGGGGACCUCGUGCCUCAUAUUUCUGUAAGACAAACAAGGUUAGGCCCUUACCCCCACCAGACUCAACUAUUGAAUACCAACAAUUAGCAUGAAGCAUUUAGUUCUCCAAAUAAAUGCACAGAACGUGAUGGCAUCCGUUUGGAUUUUAGGGAGACCGAGUGGAAUUUGGACAAAGCUAUCUUAAAGGGUCAUUAUGUGGACAAUAUAACUAACCCGGCUAGGUUUGACCAUGAUGCAUGCACAAUUUAAACAAAGUAUGGUUUCUAUAGGGUUUUAGACUGGUACCCUUUGUCAUACCUCCUUUUUACAUAUACCCCGGAAGGGUGUAAGGGGGAGUUUUUUCCAACUUAAAGUGAUAAUCGAAAUGGGAUUAUUUAUAUAAAAAUUCAGAGUCGCCACUUGGGAUAAUUUUAUGGUGUCCUAAGUCAUCGGUUCAAAUCCCGAAUCAAGGAAAAGAUUGACUCUGUUUUACAGUCCGCGAACACAAAAAUCCGGUAAGGAAUUCUGUUAACCCGGGAGAAGGUGUUAGGCAUUCCCGAGUUCCGUGGUUCUAGCACGGUCGCUCAACUAUUAUAAUUGGCCUAUUAUCUGAUUUUAAUACAUGUUUUAGCCUAUGGUUCAAUUUUAGUUUUAUAACCGCUUUUAUUCAUUUUAAGGAAGAUUGCAACAUCAUUUAAAAUACGUCUUGAACUACGUCACAUAAAUGCACUCGCAGUCCGCAACACAUUUUAUCUAACGUUGUUGAGAUUUGGAUUUGGGUCACAUAAAUGUGCACCCGAGUUGAGAUUCACGUAUCGUAACCAUGCCACAGGAACCUUACCCAUGGUCACGAUAAUUUAUUUAACGGCGCCUAAAGAAAGCUACGAAUUAAGAAUUAUUUUUCCUAAACUAGUUAUACAGUGAAACAUUUUCUACAUUUUAAUGAUAUUCGUUCAAUAUAUGAGUUCCCAUAGCCAAUUAUAAUUGGCGAAACUCUAAAUUGGAAAAGAUAACGCCUUAAAAUACGGCGAUCACAACAUUCAUGCUUAAAUCAUCAAUCCAUUGUGGCACAACAAAUAAGCAGAUAAGUUAAGAAAAGUAAAACGUCAUAUGUUUGUUUGAUUAGUUCCUGGCAAUUGUGACUAUACGAUGUAACAUAAUAAAUGAGGAAAUAUACCAAAGUUUUUAUUGGUGACAAAGCUUAGUUCAUCUAGUAACAAGAUAAUAAAAAUACAAUAGUAAUAAAACAAUUUAAACAUGCUCAAAUACUGAGUAAACUAGCUUAAAUGACCAAAAAAACAAACAAAACAAUAAGAUAUGGCAAAGAAUGGACUUAAAGCAUGAGAGAUGAAAUAUUAUUGAAUCGGAGGAUAAGAACAAGAGUGAACCUUCAAUGGCUUAAAAAGUUUCUUCAAUAAAUAAGGAGAAACAGAACUUCCAAAUAUCGCGACCGGAGAUGACGGAUGGAACUUGAAUCGAAAAUUCUCCGGCGACCUCGAACUUUUUCAGUACCCCAGCUCCAAUACAACUUAGUAGAGAAAGAUUUUGGUUGUUUCCAAAUAAAUCAAUUUGUUUCAACAGGAAGGAAGUAGAAAGCAGCGAUGAAAUCGGAACUCCUGUGAAAUGGCUUUGUCGGCGACAAAAUCAAAAGUUGUGCGGCCGAGCUUGAGCGAGACCAGAUUGAUUUCUUUUGUUCCCCUAAAAUUUUUUUCCUUCCCCUUAGCUCUAAAGUGAUUUUCGUUCUUUUCUCUGUUAAUGUGUGUGUGUAAAUUUGUUUGGGUUUCAAAAGAGUUAAUAUUUGCUCUCAAGGAUUAAGAGGGAUGAGAGCCUCCAAAGGUCUGUUUACUAGCCCCUUCGAAAUUGGGAACAGCAACAAUAAAAUCAGGAGGGGUGGGUAAUCGUUCUUUUUCUUUGUGAAACGGCGGAUCUAAAAUCUAGGGGUUGGGUACUAUUAUAUAGGGGUAGGGAUUAGGUUAGGGGUAUGGGCCUAGGAAUUAUGGGCUUGGGAAUUAUGGGUUAGGUCCAAAAUUAGGUCUAAAGAUGGAUUGCUCGAGCCCAAGUAUUAUUCUUUCCCCGCGAACGAGAUAAAAAUACGAUCUCACUUAUUAAUUAGUCC
RNAcentral lists this long non-coding RNA (2781 nucleotides) under Nicotiana tabacum (common tobacco). RNAcentral describes it as "long non-coding RNA (NTAB_LNC016177)". Lineage: Eukaryota; Viridiplantae; Streptophyta; Magnoliopsida; Solanales; Solanaceae. The record is from RNAcentral.